Molecule: ribosomal RNA, 560 nt
Filed under: permafrost bacterium DT-IIF10
Lineage: Bacteria
Description: bacterial SSU rRNA
Rfam family: Bacterial small subunit ribosomal RNA
Source: RNAcentral
GAGUGCGUAAGUGUAAGGGGGUUUCCGCCCCUUAGUGCUUCAGCUAAACGCCAUUAAGCACUCCGCCUGGGGAGUACGCCCGCAAGGCUGAAACUCAAAGGAAUUGACGGGGGCCCGCACAAGCGGUGGAGCAUGUGGUUUAAUUCGAAGCAACGCGAAGAACCUUACCAGGUAUUGACAUCCCGCUGACCGCCUAGGAGACUAGGCUUUCCCUUCGGGGACAGCGGUGACAGGUGGUGCAUGGUUGUCGUCAGCUCGUGUCGUGAGAUGUUGGGUUAAGUCCCGCAACGAGCGCAACCCUUGAUCUUAGUUGCCAGCAUUCAGUUGGGCACUGUAAGGUGACUGCCGGUGACAAACCGGAGGAAGGUGGGGAUGACGUCAAAUCAUCAUGCCCCUUAUGACCUGGGCUACACACGUGCUACAAUGGACGGUACAAAGGGCUGCAAACCCGCGAGGGGGAGCCAAUCCCAUGAAACCGUUCUCAGUUCGGAUUGCAGGCUGCAACUCGCCUGCAUGAAGCCGGAAUCGCGUAGUAAUCCCGGAUCAGCAUGCCGCGGUGA